Molecule: ribosomal RNA, 209 nt
Filed under: uncultured bacterium
Lineage: Bacteria
Description: partial 16S ribosomal RNA
Rfam family: Bacterial small subunit ribosomal RNA
Source: RNAcentral
AACGAACGCUGGCGGCGUGGCUAAGACAUGCAAGUCGAACGAUAGCUUGUAGCAAUAUGAGCUAUAGUGGCGGACGGGUGAGUAAUAAAUAGGUAACGUACCCCGGGUCCAGGGAUAGCGUCGGGCGAAAGCCCUUUGCGAAAGUGGCGGUAAUACCUGGUAAUGUCUUUCGGUGGCAUCAUCGGAAGACCAUAGGGUGGGGGACCUUC